UUCAUACAAACGGGGAUGAAAUAUACGAUCUGGCAUUGCAUAGCAUUUUUCACGACGAAAACUCCAUCGGCAUUAUUUUCCCUACCUUCUUUACUGCCGCUUCAUCCGUUCGUGUAUUAUGGAGAUGUUUCAGAUUCUUGGCACGUUCUUCUCAACAAGCACUCGUGCGUCUUGCAAGUUUGCCAUCAAAUUGGAAUCGGCAGGAACACAAAAGAGGAGAAGUAGGUAAAGGACCGUGUAAGACAGACAGCGGAGAGUGGUCCUCGUGUUAACGUGGACUCUGAAGAGAAGAAAGGAGAGCUUCUCGAGUACCUCUGUCGUGAAGUAGAGAAACCGUUUGACUCUCGAACAGGAUGAGAGAGUCUGCCUAAUUUUCGAGUUAUCCUCUGAUGCGAGCAAUAAAAUCAACUCAUUGUUUACAAAGUGAAAGUUAAAGAAAACAUUUCAUGUGUUAUACGAAAUGAAAAAAGUGAAUUAUUCAUGAAGAAUAGAAAGAAAGAUAGAUGGAAAGAGAGACAGUUCACACAUUCGUUUAGAACGUGAAAUGGUCAAAAUAUUUUCCACGAACUGGACGCCAAUAAGGGAACUAACGGAGCAUCAAUAACACGAAUAGCAGAGUUGCAAGCAAGCAAGCAGACUCUCUCGAAGUCGUCCACGCAGUCUGUGUUGAUCCCAUCGAGCGUGCUAUCCACUUAAAUUUACAUCUCAAGUCGGAGACUCCUUAUCCCAAGUACCAGACUGCAACCUGAUGAAAUGAAUGGCUGUUCUACAGCUACUGUACCACUGUACAUAACACCUUCGUACUUCUGAAUCCAGUCUGUGUGUCUGCAUCUAACAUGAUAUCGCCACGUGUUUACGAAGAUGUUUAUACCUGCAAUACCUAAAUAAGUCCUCGUAAACGUUUGAAGGGUUUUACUAUGGAAGUCGCACGUGAUGUCUGUGAUGUCUCUCACUAGGCAUACAAUUUCUGCAAGAUGAUGUGCGUGCAUUACUGUUACCUGCCGAGUUCCAAACACGUUACAUCUGUCAAGGCACUUUAUUACUUUCUAGGUAUCUCAUCGUAUGAAUAGAUACAUAUAUAUGUACGUACGUACGUACAUACAUAUUAUAUACAUACUUAGGUAAACUAGAAUUCUAUUCCAUAGAAACUCUAUGGACGAUGAUCAUUAGCGUGGCAGAUACAUUUGGGUAAACGGAAACUUUAUCACCAAGAGUGAAUAAUUCUAUCGUCCUAGGAUGCAAUUCACGACGGCUCAUUCCUGUUAUGCAACGUAACGAGAUACAAUCGAUAGAUAUGGACAUGAAAUGGGUCCAUGUAUCUAUUUGCGACGGUCUGUGACAUGAAACUUGGACGUUCACAAUUGAGGCAUUUUCCUUCCCGAACUUUACGACUCCUUACGGGACAUCUACCGCUUGAGUAUCAUUAAUGUUAAAUCGUGGAGGAAAGCUGAGGGAUUCGAAAAACGACGAUAAGAAGAUACGUUCCUUUUAGUUUUACGUUACCAGUUUAAAUGAGUAGAAGAAAACGAAAGAAGAAGAGUCGUUUGGAAGUUCUUAGAGGAAAGUAGAGAGGUGUCCCUUCAAUCCCUGGAGGAUUAUUGCUUCUUGUCAGCGAGAGUCCGUAAGUGGCCCGUCUAUCAAGUACGUCAGGAUACCUCGAUGAAAGAUUCCUUGUGAUUUUUCUUUCUCUGAGGCUACCGAGAAGAGUAACGCACAACUCCUAGACACGAUAUUCUACUAGAUGAUAUAAUCGAUCGUUCGACGAUGGAUCGGAUUUCUUAAGAAAUGGGAGAUAAAUUUCCUUGUGAAAAAUU
Molecule: long non-coding RNA, 1814 nt
Organism: Vespula pensylvanica (western yellowjacket)
Lineage: Eukaryota; Metazoa; Arthropoda; Insecta; Hymenoptera; Vespidae
Exons: 8
Source: RefSeq, a predicted model, not a curated record